This 71-nucleotide transfer RNA is filed under the name Cygnus columbianus (tundra swan). RNAcentral's name for it is "tRNA-Arg". Lineage: Eukaryota; Metazoa; Chordata; Aves; Anseriformes; Anatidae. The record is from RNAcentral. RNAcentral also lists the same sequence under 2 other names.
AGAAAGUUAGUCUAACCAGAAAGACAGCUGGUUUCGACCCAGCAGAUUACAGCCAACCCUGUAACUUUCUU